Molecule: non-coding RNA, 218 nt
Organism: Arachis ipaensis
Lineage: Eukaryota; Viridiplantae; Streptophyta; Magnoliopsida; Fabales; Fabaceae
Source: RefSeq, a predicted model, not a curated record
GCAUAGAUUCAUAUACAAGACUCCUUACAUAAUAACUCAACAUAUUAGAAAAUAUAAAACAUACAAUUUCUAUCCCUCUUACAAACUUGUAAUAACAAAGACGAGGGAAGAAAAUAAUCUAAAUAAUACAACAGCAUAUAAACCAAAUGCAGUAUAACUCUUUUUAAUGCUUCUUCAUCCGGUUCCUGAAAAGGUAAAGCUCAACUAUCUGAGUUCGA